UACGAAGGGGGCUAGCGUUGCUCGGAAUCACUGGGCGUAAGGCGCACGUAGGCGGCUUUUUAAGUCAGGGGUGAAAUCCUGGAGCUCAACUCCAGAACUGCCUUUGAUACUGAGAAGCUUGAGUCCGGGAGAGGUGAGUGGAACUGCGAGUGUAGAGGUGAAAUUCGUAGAUAUUCGCAAGAACACCAGUGGCGAAGGCGGCUCACUGGCCCGGUACUGACGCUGAGGUGCGAAAGCGUGGGGAGCGAACAGG
This 253-nucleotide ribosomal RNA is filed under the name uncultured bacterium. RNAcentral's name for it is "partial 16S ribosomal RNA". It matches the Rfam family "Bacterial small subunit ribosomal RNA", at positions 524 to 776 of the family's 1533-position model. The record is from RNAcentral.